This 460-nucleotide ribosomal RNA is filed under the name uncultured bacterium. Its description in RNAcentral is "partial 16S ribosomal RNA". It matches the Rfam family "Bacterial small subunit ribosomal RNA", at positions 338 to 795 of the family's 1533-position model. The record is from RNAcentral.
CCUACGGGUGGCAGCAGUGAGGAAUAUUGGUCAAUGGGCGGAAGCCUGAACCAGCCAAGUCGCGUGAGGGAUUAAGGCCCUGCGGGUCGUAAACCUCUUUUGCCGGGGAGCAGUGGUCCGGACGCGUCCGGACCGGGAGAGUACCCGGAGAAAAAGCAUCGGCUAACUCCGUGCCAGCAGCCGCGGUAAUACGGAGGAUGCGAGCGUUAUCCGGAUUUAUUGGGUUUAAAGGGUGCGUAGGCGGAUCGUUAAGUCAGUGGUCAAAUUGAGGGGCUCAACCCCUUCCCGCCAUUGAAACUGGCGCUCUUGAGUGGAAGAGAAGUAUGCGGAAUGCGUGGUGUAGCGGUGAAAUGCAUAGAUAUCACGCAGAACCCCGAUUGCGAAGGCAGCAUGCCGGCUUCCGACUGACGCUGAAGCACGAAAGCGUGGGGAUCGAACAGGAUUAGAUACCCCUGUAGUC